GAAAAAUACAGGUAUCUCGGCUACUAUAUAGACGGUUACUUGAUGCUCGGUCUUGUUGUGUUGCUGGUCGUUAUGGAGAGCUUCUGGAAGCUUCAGCAAGUGCAGGCCUUGGUGCGUCUCUUUGUUGGGUCUACAACAGCGUCACUAAAAGAAGAUGAUCUUGAGGAGCUAGUGCUAGGUGAAUGGCCAGACAGCCAUGAUAUUCCAACAGCGGCUGUUCAGUUUAGACCCCCUAUCUCCAUCAUCUCACAUCGCAUGUCUGAUUCACCAGCAUUCCCUUUUGUGGAGGAUGCAUGUACAUCAUUUACAGCAAAAGCGGCAACUUAUAAGAAGACCGUGUGUCCGCAACAUCAGCCAGACACUGAUCCAGACCCAGCUGAUCAAAACAACUGAUUACCAAAAUCAAAUGUCUUUAAACACGGUCACUAAAUUU
Long non-coding RNA from Ictalurus punctatus (channel catfish), 433 nucleotides. Lineage: Eukaryota; Metazoa; Chordata; Actinopteri; Siluriformes; Ictaluridae. The record is from Ensembl.